AUCCAACGUCGCCUCAUCGCUUCAUCUCACCUCCACCUCACCUCUUUUCUUAUUGACUUCUUCUCUUCUCCUUCUUCUUCUUCUUCUUAUUCCCAUCUCUCUUCCAGGUUGUCUCUUUUGUCACGACAACCUUCUUGACGACCAUCUACCUCUAACUACAAUAGUCGCUUCCGUCGUCUUCCGCUCACUUGUUUUCUUUUUUCUAUCGUUCCCGCUUUCCAACUUGUGGGAACACCAUCGUUCGUUGCAUCUUCAUCACCAGCUUAUCCGUGCCGUAAUCAACUACUGCCACGUUACUCCGCUCGCUCUUCUGCUCUAUUCGGUCGAUCUUUUACGAAACUCUUCCUCGAUCGUUGACUCGACAACCUUCGUGUGUGGCACGUUGCAUCCAGCAGGCCUAGCCCAGGAACGAUCACUCUCCCCUUGAACGAAGUCAAAAUAAUCCCAUCCAUCGAUCGAUCUC
RNAcentral lists this small RNA (463 nucleotides) under Histoplasma capsulatum var. duboisii H88. RNAcentral's name for it is "Histoplasma capsulatum H88 hypothetical RNA". Lineage: Eukaryota; Fungi; Ascomycota; Eurotiomycetes; Onygenales; Ajellomycetaceae. The record is from RNAcentral.